This 2293-nucleotide long non-coding RNA is filed under the name Gossypium barbadense (sea-island cotton). RNAcentral describes it as "long non-coding RNA (GBAR_LNC021240)". The record is from RNAcentral. Lineage: Eukaryota; Viridiplantae; Streptophyta; Magnoliopsida; Malvales; Malvaceae.
UGAGUACCGAUAUUUGGACUUGCUAUGCUGCAAGUAUAAUGGCUAUAUCAAUUAUCCCCUUUGUUAUUGUUCAACUACCCCAAGUUCUCAAUUCAACUUCAGGAAGACACCUAGCAGUUUUGAUUGCACUGAUCAUAUCAGUAUCAAUGUUGGUUUCUUAUUGUGUUUAUCAGGUAAUAAAACUUUUCAAGAAGGAAUUCCAUCAUCACAUGUUUCAAUAUCUUAUUUCGGGUAUGCAUUAGACACGGUUAUUAAAUGAGUGCUUAAAGAAAAAUGAAGAGUUAGAGUGACAUACCUUCAUGACACUUCUACUCUUCUAGUAGUUGUAUCUUAUGAUAUAUGUAAUUUGCAGGUAUUUCAGCCAUGGAUCCAGAGAAGACGACUAGCUUUUGCGAAGCACAAACAUGUUAUAUCGGGGAUCUUAAGACACUUGAAAAAGCAAGCUUUUGGAAAGCUUCUUACCGAGGAUGGUGAACCUAAUACAGAGAUCAUAAGAAAGUUAGUUUUGAACCUUUUAACAUUAAAGCAAAAGCUUCCAAUUUCUCCUGGUACUUCCUUCCGGUUACUCUUAACAUUUACAAACUUUCUAAACAACAUUGGAUAGGUUGUUCGAGACAAUCGAUGAGAACCGUGACGGUCAUCUUUCACCUUCCGAGUUGAAAGCAUUGAUUAUAGGAAUCAGAUUUGAAGAGAUAGACUUCGACAAGGAUGACGCUGUGAUGAAAGUAAUGGCAGAUUUUGAUACCUCCCUCGACUCUUAUAUUCAAGAAGAAGAGUUUGUAAAAGGAAUCACAAAGUGGAUUAAUGAAGCAAAGCAAACUGGGGGUGCUUAUCUCGAACCUAAUGCCGGAACGUUUAAGUUUAUUGACCAAUUUCACCAGGUAAGUCGACCAUUGGCAACUUCUCUAGAGAUUAUAAUUAACACAAACUGAAUUCUUCGAAUUAUCAUGCAAAUCUGCAGCAAACCAAGAGAGAACAUGCUUUGUUGGGGUCAGAGGAACAAAGUGAUGAGGUUGUUGAACAUGUUGAAAACCCAAGGUGGAUCUCCUUCAAAGCAGUACUGAUGCUCCUAGUAGGCACCUUGAUUGCAGCUGCAUUUGCUGAUCCACUCGUAGAUGCUGUCGAUAACUUUUCAACCGCAACAAGUAUUCCAUCGUUCUUCAUCUCAUUUAUUGCAUUGCCAUUGGCUACGAACUCUAGUGAAGCCGUAUCAGCCAUUAUCUUCGCUACCCGCAAAAAGCAGAGAACUGCAUCAUUAACAUUUUCCGAGGUUAGUUUCUUGUUACCCCACUUGUCUGAUCAUCAAGCUGCCGUAUAAAUAAAUCCUAAUCUUCGAAUUCCUCAAUGCAGCUUUACGGAGCAGUAACCAUGAAUAACGUUCUCUGCCUGUCGGUUUUCUUGGCACUCGUUUACGUCCGGGGAUUGACAUGGGACUUCUCAUCCGAAGUGCUGGUGAUUCUCAUUGUUUGCAUUGUGAUGGGCGCGUUCGCUAGUUUCCGAACUACUUUCCCUCUUUGGACAUGUUCAAUCGCUUACAUCCUUUAUCCUUUCUCCUUGGCGCUCGUUUAUGUUCUCGAUUAUGUCUUUGGCUGGUCGUAGGUUCAAUGAAUAGAGAUGGUAGUUUAGGAGGGUAAAGCCAUUUGUUUGUGAGCCUUCAUGGUUUUUCCCAAUGUAUGAACUUGUCAAACUCUUUUUCCCUUAGACAUUGGUUUUCAGAGAAGACUAUUCCGGAUUUGUUGUUAUGGUGUUUGUAAUUUGGAGCAGUAUAUACCUCAGUUUAUAUUAGCUCCAUUUAUGUCAGUUUUCUGUUUUCUUUUUUAAGCAACAAUAAUAAAAAAAUAUUUAUUUUUGUGAUACUCCGAACUCUCCAUUUCCAUCUUCUUUAAAGCAUUCAUAGCUAUUCGAAAAAUGAAUCAUUUUUAAAUGUUAAAAGGGAGUUUUAGAUUCAACCCAUCUUAAAGAAGCAAGGUAAAAUGAAAACUAAACCCAACCCAGUCUUCCAAAGAGAGCAGCAAUGACGGAUUUCAGUUAAAAAAGAGAACAGUACCUGGAACAUCAAUAUUGAGAUGCUAAGACAGUCGAAUUGAAGGCAGCCUCGGCCUGCAUGUGAUGUAACAAGAAAGAAAUUGCAGUCAGACUCUGAGACAAUUGCUGUGAUGUCGAAAAAGAAGAGCAUGCAAGUUUACUGUCAAAAGCUCGUACACAUAUGGGAAGCAAAAGAGGAGCUGAUGAAGGUAGCUUAGGCCUAGGGAGUUGAACUGAAUUGCAGAGAGAGAAAAGAAGCUGCUGCAGC